RNAcentral lists this long non-coding RNA (4494 nucleotides) under Homo sapiens (human). Its description in RNAcentral is "HSALNT0403164". Lineage: Eukaryota; Metazoa; Chordata; Mammalia; Primates; Hominidae. The record is from RNAcentral.
CUUUGAUACUAACACAGGUAUAAAGUAUAAGAAAUAUAUGUAGACAUUUUAAGGAGACGUACAAAAUAAAUAUAAAAUAUAAACAUUGUGUAUAAUUAUCAAAUCACUAGUCAAGAAUCAUAUAAUUUAAAUAACUAAAAUCAAGGCAAUAAAAGUCAAAGUUAAUAACUGUUAUUUAUUAACAGUUAUUUAAGGACUUGUACCCUAUAAACAGAAACUAUACAUUUUUCAAGCAUCUAUGAUUUACCAAAAUAGACUAGUAUUAGUUAAGAACAAGAUAAUAAUAAUAAAUAACAGAAAUUUCAGGAAUUACAUAAGGUCACAACUUAAUAAUACAAAAAAAAUAAUCUUUUCAUAAAAACAUUCCCCAAAAAUAUUAAAAACAAACAACAAAUCAAUAACAACAUUAAAAUAAGCAAACCAUUUGCCUAAAUAACUGUUGUGACAAAAGGCAAACUAAACCAUAACUGUAGGCCAUUUAAGAACCUACUAAAUUACAGCACCACGUUUCAACACUGAUGUAUUACCAAAGCUCUUCUUAGAGACAAAUUCAUAGGCUUUAACAGUCUAUUAAAAAGAAGUAUAAAAGAAUCAUGUCUUUAUCACAGGAACUUAACUGGACUACAAUAAAGCAAAGAUGAAACUUAGAAAGAACACAAAUUUAAUUGCAUUAGAGAAAUUGGAAAAUCAACAAGUAAAUCACAGAACUAAUAUUUUUAAAGAAAAAAAUUCGUUACUAUUUUAAAAGGAAUAAGCAGCAGGAAAAAAAUGAGAAAGAAUACAACACGCAGAAAAUUUUUAAAAAAUACUGAGGGUAAUGUUUAAGAAGGUAAUUGCAAAUUUCUAGAAGAAAUGCUAGCAAAUGUAAUUUGUAUAGGAUGUUAAAACAAUACUUAAUAAUGCAGUACUACAUUAUCUUAGCAAUACAUAGAUGAUUUCAAUAAUCAAUUUAUAAUAUUUGACUAUAUAUAGCAGCAUUCUAUCUCUCCAUGUAUUCAAGUUUUCUUAUAGGACUCAUAAAUAUGUUUUAAUAGACUUCUGGCAAGUUUAUACUUUUGUGAAAAUUAGAAAGAUUUUUUUCCAUUACAUUUUUUACCUGGUUAUUGCUGGAUUGGAAGAGUCACAAAAUUCCACGCACACAACUUGGAUGUAAACAAAAAAUACAGCACACAUAAUCUGGUCUUUUUCUGAAUUCCACGUCCAAAAUUUGGCAGAAAAAAAAAAGUGUUCAAUCUCCUGUGAAUCUACUCUGAUCUGCUAUACUAAAAAAUACUUAGUCUUUUUGUGCUGCAUUUUUCCCCCCUUCCCCAUUAUCUCCUCCUAAGCCUUGCCUGGGAAUUGCAAGCCCACCAGAGAUCCUAUUCUGUCACUAAGCAAAAUCUGAUUUACAAUUUUGGCUGAGGAGAGGGAACAUAUUAAAACAUAUCAACAAUUUUAGAAUCAAUAUUAUUAAAUUUCAUGUAGGUUUUAGAAAUGUUUUACUUGUAUACUUUAGACUUCAUUUUAUAAAAUUACAUUUUUAAAACUUUUUACAUUUUUAGGAAAUACAUGUUAGCUAAAAAACUGUGUUUUGCUCCCUGCUACGUUUGCUUAUCCUAUCCUUCAUUACUCCUUGGAUUUUAGUCUAACUGGUCUUGGGACAUGCCUCUUCCCCACAAACACCCCCACCACCAUACCACAUUGCUGUGACACAUUUAGCUUGUUAAUGUGGUAAGAGUGGAGCUCACUUACAGAAUUUUUGCAGACUAGACCUUAGGCUACAGGUCUUUACCAUGGAGCAGAAAAGUGGUAUCUCAAACCUCAUCCACAAAGGUUGAUCUAGUCCAAGCCCCUCUCCAGGUUCAUGUCCAUGUACAGCUUUGUUCUUAUUGUAACAACCUACAUUUUAGAAUAGGCAACGAAGACCAUUACCAAGAGCAGUAGGAGGGGCAACCUUCGGCUGUUUGUUUUUCAGGAUCUCAACUUGUGAACUUACUCUUCUCUUCACAGAAUGGGAUAACUGCCUGGCACUCACCAAGCUACACUUGAAGAGGAUCAAUCCAUGUCAUCAUGUCCCCAAUUUCAUAGCACCAAGUAUUUUGUUUAUUCACAAAUGCCCUAUUAUGGACAUCUAGCAAACAAUGAUACAUCAGAAAAGGAGAUGUGCAUAAAUUUUCAUGGAAUAAGGGAUGCGCAUGAAAGAAUGUGCCACAGAAAAUGAGACACAUCAAUGAGGGUAGGUUUGAAAUACCAAUUUAAAGCAGACUUUCACCGUUUGGCCAGGCUAUAAACAUUAAAAAUCCAUAACUAAGAUCUUACUAUAUAUUCAGGCAUUUUAAGAACUCUGCAUAUAUAAUUACAUUUGACCCUUCUAAUGCCUUUAUCAGAUAGGUUCUAUUAUUGCUCUUUUUUAAAUAAAGAAGAUAAACUUUGAAGAGAUUAAUAAAUUAAUAAAUUGGUCCUCCAUGACACAGAUUAAUAAAUAGCAGAAUCUUGAUUCAAAUUCUAUUUUGUCCUCGAUUUUAACUUCAUAAUCAUAAUGUUAUAAUGUUGUUUCAUGUUACUUUUAGGGAUUGCAAAAGGUUAAAACCCAAUUUAUAUUAGUUUAAGAAAAAGCAGAAAUCAUAGAGGGUACCGUUAGGGUACUUCCCCCUUUCUAUGAGGCGUUUCAUAGAAACCAAGUACAGGAAUACAGCUGUGCCUCAGGAAUAUCAGAAUCCAGGGAAUAAAGACUGACCAAACUUAGUUUCCACCUCUGCCCCAGCCACCUGACCCCCUUCCACCACACUCCACUAGCUCCCUCCACCUCCGCUCUACCCCCCACUGUCUUACUUCCAUCCACUUAGUAGAAAACAUAGUUACUGUGAGCUUUAUAUCUUUUAGUCCAAAUAUUCAAUGCCCAAAAACAGUUGCUUGACCUUUUUUUUUUUUUUUAAUCACAAACAACACUAAUUGUGGGGAUGGAACACUUUGGCCAGGUUUAGGUCAUUGUCCAUUCUAAAACAAUUAUCUAUUCAGUCUCUUAAAUCAAGAAUAUUUUGAGAAUGUUUUUAUAUGUCUGACACUGUCUUUAGUACUGUGAAUCCAGCAGUGAACCAGACAAACAAGAUCUUAUAUUCUAUAGAGAGAGACAGGGAAUAAGUAAGUUAAAAUAUAUAAUAAAUAUCCAAGAGGCAAAUACAUAUAUAAGAUAAAUACAUAAGCUGAUUUCAAAUAGUACUACAUUAAAACAAGGUAAUAUAUAGCAAAAGAUUGAUGGGGCAGAGGAGUGGAGGUCAAUAUUAGAUAUAUAAGAGAAUAUUUAUCUGAGAUAACAUCUGAAUAGAGACCCAGAUGACAAGAAAAAAACAGCCAUCAAAAAAUCUAGAAAGGUGAUGGCAGGUAGAGAGGAUGAAAGGUACAAACACAAUGAACUGAGAAUAUUAGACAGCCAGGAUGGCUAGAACCUAGUAAGCAAAUGGGAAAAAAUGUAGGGAAUAAGUUAGAGGCAGGGAGGCAGAUAGGGACUAAAAUUACAUAUGGGAGGCUCUGUAAGGCAUUUGAAUGUUAUUCAUGUGGAAAAAGUUAUAGCCAAAGGGAGGAUGCUAUGAUUUUCUCAAGUUGGGUUAGGUACCCCUUGGGUUAUGUUUUAAUUUGACUGCUUUUGUUGCAGCCAGAAGGUUGUAGAAUGAGGUGGAGUAUUUCCCAUGGGAGCUGUGGUUCUGGGCAGAUAAAACAAUGCACAAUUCUAUUCUCUUCACAAUUCUGUUCAAGUACUUCUGUUAUAAAUCCCCUUAACAGUAAGUGCCCCCAUUGUCAAUCACAGUGGCCACUGCUCUUCCAAAACCAGCUUUAUCUAGGUUUUAUUUUCUACCAGUUUUCAAUAUCUUAAAUUUUCUUCUCUUUUAUACAAUUUUAAGGCUGUUUAAAAGGGCUAGCUCAAUUGGAAUAUGCAUAACUUUCCAAUGUUGGAAAGUGAUCUUUGCUAUGCUGAUCAUUGAUUGAUUACCUGACAGUCAACACCUAUUUGAAUCACUGUCUCUUGCCUCUAAGCAUUGGCUUCCAAGUAGAUUUCACUGGGCUUUGUAUUUUAAAGUUUCCUAUUUUCCAAGCUCUGUUAUUUGCCAUGCUUCUUUUCAGUUUUCUUAGGAAAAAAAUGAUUGGAUCCUGGGGGCAUUUGCUAGAUAUCUGGCAAGGAGCAUCACACAGGUAUAAAAGCAAGUCAACCUAACUGAGGAAAAUUGAGUAAAAUGGAAAAGGAUGCCAGUAGAAAGGAGAGAAUCUGGGAGGAAAAAAAAAAGGGAAACUAUAUACAGUCAGGUAGUAGUCAUAUCAAAAAACAAAGGAAUGCCCCCAAAGAGUUAUGAAUUGCUGCAGGAGAAUUAAUGAGAUGGAAAAUUUCUCAAGGAAAAAGAGCCAAGUAUAUAUAAAGGGGAGAAAAGCAUAAAAUGAAGAAAAAAAAAAAACAAAUAAGGCAAAAUAAAAAUUUUUAAAAACCCCAUAGUGCAGGGUGAAAGAGUAAAACAAAAGAAAGGA